UCUGGACUCUGAAUCCAGCGAUCCGAGUU
RNAcentral lists this non-coding RNA (29 nucleotides) under Bombyx mori (domestic silkworm). Lineage: Eukaryota; Metazoa; Arthropoda; Insecta; Lepidoptera; Bombycidae. RNAcentral also lists the same sequence under 8 other names. The record is from RNAcentral.